CUACGGGUGGCUGCAGUGGGGAAUAUUGCACAAUGGAGGAAACUCUGAUGCAGCGACGCCGCGUGAGUGAAGAAGUAUUUCGGUAUGUAAAGCUCUAUCAGCAGGGAAGAUAGUGACGGUACCUGACUAAGAAGCACCGGCUAAAUACGUGCCAGCAGCCGCGGUAAUACGUAUGGUGCAAGCGUUAUCCGGAUUUACUGGGUGUAAAGGGAGUGUAGGUGGCAUGGCAAGUCAGAAGUGAAAGCCCAGGGCUCAACCCUGGGACUGCUUUUGAAACUGCCGAGCUAGAGUGCAGGAGAGGUAAGUGGAAUUCCUAGUGUAGCGGUGAAAUGCGUAGAUAUUAGGAGGAACACCAGCGGCGAAGGCGGCUUACUGGACUGUAACUGACACUGAGGCUCGAAAGCGUGGGGAGCAAACAGGAUUAGAUACCCUCGUAGUC
Molecule: ribosomal RNA, 439 nt
Filed under: uncultured bacterium
Lineage: Bacteria
Description: partial 16S ribosomal RNA
Rfam family: Bacterial small subunit ribosomal RNA
Source: RNAcentral